AAUAAUAGGAUUCAUAAAAAAAAAAAAAAAAGACAGAUGGGAUUAGAAAAUGUUGCAGUGAAGACUCUGGAAUGAGAUGAGAUCACAGCACCAGCCUGUCUUUUGUGGACCGGCACAAUGAUCCCCGAGCCAGACUGGAUUAGGAAACCUCGCGACUAGGGGUUCAGAGAGGCCUCCGGUUCCCAGGCACUUUUGGGGAGAGAAGGCUGAAACGAUGCAUCAGAUUUACAGCUGCAGUGAUGAAAAUAUAGAAGUUUUCACCACCGUGAUUCCUUCCAAGGUGCCCAGUCCAGCCAGAAGAAGAGUCAAGAGCUCUCAACAUCUCUUAACCAAGAAUGUGGUGAUCGAGUCUGACCUCUACACGUCCCGGCCCCUGGAGCUGCUGCAGCACCGCAGCGACCACCGCGACGGCGAGGCCCGCAGGUCGAGCUGCUUCCAGAACGCACGGCCGCAGGGCGCCCACCCCGCCAAGACCCCCGCCAGGCCCGUGGGGAUUUCUGAACCCAAAUCAGCAAAUCUGUGCGGGAAUCGAGCAUAUAGCAAAGCUUUGAUGCCUCCGGUGGCCCGGAUCUCGGUGAAAGCUCCCGCCGUCCUGGAGGCGGCAGCUCUGGGCUCGGAGAACGGAGCUGUUCUGACCAGAGGAUCCAGGCACCUCAAGAAGAUGACUGAAGAGUAUCCUACCCUCCCUCAGGGAGCAGAAGCCUCCCUACCGCUGACAGGAAGUGCUUCCUGCGGCGUCCCCAGCAUCCUCCGGAAAAUGUGGACCAGGCACAAGAAGAAGUCUGAAUACGUGGGAGCUACCAACAGCGCCUUUGAGGCUGACUAAAGGUGACCCUCCCCAGGUGCCCUGUGCUGGCCCGAGUUCACUGCACAAGGGGAGGAAACUUCCAGAUGGGAACUGAGCGACAUUCACCUCUGCUACUAGCUGGUCCACGCACAUCACCCUCCAGUACUAACUAAUCGCCCCGGCUCAGGAAACGGGAAAGGAACCUCCCUCGAAGGCAAAAGAAAACUGUUCCUUCUUAGAAUCGAUAAAGCCAUUGGUCUGAAAGUGACUUCGGGAGGUCAUCAAGUUUAUAUCCCUAUAUUUAAGCAAAAUGGCACCAAAAUCAAACUUUCCCAACCCAUUUUAAAGACCUCCAAGGAAGCAAGCAGGCAAUUCCUCAGUCUUCCUUGUGAGUCGUUCUAAUUUCCAGUAUAAAUGUAAGAAUUUGAUGUUUCAGGCACUUGGAAGCACAAUGGUUCUCACUGUUCCUGCCACCAUAUUUAUUUCAUCUUGAUGAGACUCCGAACACCCAGUCCUCCCAUCAGAACAUGACUUGGAGAUUUGGGCAUCAAGUGCUCUUUCAAUGAAGGUCCCAAUGGACUGUGUAAUCGUCUUACAGUGUAUGGGUGAAGGGGCCCGGAACAAAGGUAGGGAGAAAACAGGUAAUUUACACUGGACCUAUCGGAGUAUCCUAUGACUAUUUAUUUUAACUUAUUUACUUUAUAACUGAUGUCCUCUAUUUGUAUGUGGCAGCUGGAGAUCUAUGUAGACUGGAACUUAUUUAUUUUUAAUUUAAAACUUUCAUGAUGAAGUGUUUGCCUUGUAUAGAACAUUUUCAUUGGCCAGUUCAAAUAAAAAUAAAGUCUGCUUUGUUUGUGACAUUAAUA
This is an RNA transcript of Lagenorhynchus albirostris (white-beaked dolphin), 1653 nucleotides long. It is a transcript of the gene named vexin, with no coding region annotated. The record is from RefSeq and is a predicted model, not a curated record. Lineage: Eukaryota; Metazoa; Chordata; Mammalia; Artiodactyla; Delphinidae. The transcript has 7 exons.